RNAcentral lists this ribosomal RNA (254 nucleotides) under uncultured bacterium. RNAcentral describes it as "partial 16S ribosomal RNA". It matches the Rfam family "Bacterial small subunit ribosomal RNA", at positions 524 to 776 of the family's 1533-position model. The record is from RNAcentral.
UACGAAGGGGGGCUAGCGUUGCUCGGAAUUACUGGGCGUAAAGGGCGCGUAGGCGGAUAGUUUAGUCAGAGGUAAAAGCCCAGGGCUCAACCUUGGAACUGCCUUUGAUACUGGCUAUCUUGAGUUCGGGAGAGGUGAGUGGAAUGCCGAGUGUAGAGGUGAAAUUCGUAGAUAUCGAGAGGAACACCGGUGGCGAAGGCGGCCAACUGGACGAAUACUGACGCUGAGACACGAAAGCGUGGGGAGCAAACAGG